GAAAUGGGAUAAGUAGUGUGAAUUGCAGAAUUCAGUGAAUCAUCGAAUCUUUGAACGCACAUUGCGCCCCUUGGUAUUCCAUGGGGCAUGCCUGUUCGAGCGUCAUUUGUACCCUCAAGCUCUGCUUGGUGUUGGGUGUUUGUCCCGUCUCCGCGCGUGGACUCGCCCCAAAGUGAUUGGCAGCCGGCGUACUGGUCCCGGAGCGCAGCACAUGUCGCGCAAACGAGUGCCUUGGUACGGCGGCGUCCAUAAGCCCCUCUCUCACGCUCUUGACCUCGGAUCAGGUAGGGAUACCCGCUGAACUUAAGC
This 309-nucleotide unclassified non-coding RNA is filed under the name plant metagenome. RNAcentral's name for it is "partial contains 5.8S ribosomal RNA, internal transcribed spacer 2, and large subunit ribosomal RNA". The stretch from base 1 to 105 matches the Rfam family "5.8S ribosomal RNA", at positions 50 to 154 of the family's 154-position model. The record is from RNAcentral.